UACGGAAGGCAGCAGUGGGGAAUAUUGCACAAUGGGCGCAAGCCUGAUGCAGCCAUGCCGCGUGUAUGAAGAAGGCCUUCGGGUUGUAAAGUACUUUCAGUCGUGAGGAAGGUGUUAAGGUUAAUAACCUUAGCAAUUGACGUUAGCGACAGAAGAAGCACCGGCUAACUCCGUGCCAGCAGCCGCGGUAAUACGGAGGGUGCGAGCGUUAAUCGGAAUUACUGGGCGUAAAGGGCACGCAGGCGGUUAAUUAAGUUGGAUGUGAAAUCCCCGGGCUUAACCUGGGAAUGGCAUUCAAGACUGGUUAGCUAGAGUCUUGUAGAGGGGGUUAGAAUUCCAUGUGUAGCGGUGAAAUGCGUAGAGAUGUGGAGGAAUACCGGUGGCGAAGGCGGCCCCUGGGACAAAGGACUGACGCUCAUGUGCGAAAGCGUGGGGAGCAAACGAGGGAUUAGAUACC
RNAcentral lists this ribosomal RNA (457 nucleotides) under uncultured bacterium. RNAcentral describes it as "bacterial SSU rRNA". It matches the Rfam family "Bacterial small subunit ribosomal RNA", at positions 340 to 786 of the family's 1533-position model. The record is from RNAcentral.